Molecule: non-coding RNA, 1466 nt
Organism: Schizosaccharomyces pombe (fission yeast)
Lineage: Eukaryota; Fungi; Ascomycota; Schizosaccharomycetes; Schizosaccharomycetales; Schizosaccharomycetaceae
Source: the annotation of a GenBank genome assembly
GAUUUCUAUUCAUAUUAGUUAUUUUUUUAAAAAGUAUUAUACUUCAGUACAUACGAAGAACUCAUUCUCUAUGCAACAGAAAAAGGGGCGGUUGUUUUGAACAGGUAACUGAGUGUCAAAGGUAAUAGGUAUAGUAAUGUUACAAAUUUGGAAAUGCGUAUUAUUCCCUAAUUACCAAAUCUAACCAAGUCUGAACUACACAGUCUAAAUAGGCAGAAUAUUUUGGUUAUACACAUGUAAUUGAUAAUUGUUGCAAAAUCUAUUCAUCCAAUUUACCAACCAUAACCUGUAUAGAACCAUUGCGCAGCGUAAUGCAUUUUCAUUUGAAAGUACUAGCGAGAGUUUUAUAUCACUAAACUUUUUAAACGUUUUUUAAUUACUUGAAAUCACAUAUUUUAGUUAAACAUAUUCUGUUUGGAAAAGGCAGUUUUGUUGAAAAAAUUGUAUUUGAAAGACAACUUUAUAGAAGGAUAGUAAGAAAGUUAAUUCCUAAAUGGUCUAUAUUGAACCAAAAAUAGUUACAUUAAAAAACGAGAGUCAUUAAAAGAGCAGAUAAAUUUGACAUUAGAACCACUUUGGAACAUUAAUCGAAAUUUAAUCAAUCAUACAAACAAAAAAAUUACAAAGUGCUCGUUUAGGUCACUGAUCAAGAAGGGCGGACGGUAUAAAGUAAUUUGAAGUAAAAUCAAAAAUGUCAGCGAAUAAUUUAGAGGGAUCCUCCGUGGUUUCAGGUUCUGCAUCUUGCAUAGGCGGUUCAUUUGGGUGUAACAUACUGUUGAUGAAUCUUAAAACAUAUCCAAAUCGGACAGCCAUGCCAUCAUCAAAUGUUACGAUAUCAACCAUUCUUUCUUGUACAUAUAAUGUUAUGUCACCUAAGUCAGAAGGCACCUCAAAGCCUUUAUCACGGCAAAACGCAGCCAACAUGAGGGCGUGGAUAAUCUCCAACAACGCUACCAAAAGCCAGCCUCGUUUUUCUAAUAUAGUGAUUUGAGAUAUGAGUAGCCUCACGCACUGAAUACAACUUUCACCCAAAUUACCAAUAAUAGUUUCUUCAUCUUCUAAAAUCCCUGAAUCCAGGGUAAUAAAACAUUGAUACAAAUUCACACGUGCAGUCCAGAACACCAUUUUCAAAAAUAUGUAUCGAAAUUGAAUAUCUUCAUUAGAAGGGUCAUAAAACUUUGCUUCUAUAUCUACCAAAAUAAGCGAAAGCUGUGAUUCAUAACUCUCCAGUUUAUCAAUGAAUUUACUAACGGUGAGUGAAUGAACAGAUUUAUAGAUUGAAACACCACAAUCAAGUAACCUUCCAAGAAGUAGAUGAAAAUUGUAGCUAAUAUCGUCAUUAAAAAAACAACGAAGCGGCUUGAGACGACCAUAAGUGUCGUGUUGAAUGAAUGGCGGACGGUACUUUAAUACACAUUCCAAACCAUCAAUUUCACAGAGAGCAAACCACAAAUCUGACGUAUUUU